UGUAUAAAGAAUAUAUACAUUUUGAAUUUUAGAUUAAAAACAUUUUCUGUCUGUAUAUAUUUUCUACCCAGAACUUCUCAGGUGUCAUAAUAGUUUUAGUUUCACCCGGUUCAAAUUCUGUACAUGUGACGUCACACUUCCGGGAAUUUUGUAACUGGCAGCCGCUUCAAAGGUAUCCGUUAACCGUCAUGACAGUUGCUAUGACAACAAUAAACAAGCCACAAGCUUAGAACUAGCUCUCGCCUUGUUCCUAUCUACUUAUAAACAAUAAACUGGAUCCAGUAACAGAGCGAUCUUCAGCCUCCUUCAGUGCAGCUGACGCUUCCUGGCAGUGAAUUUGACGGAGCAGUCAGUCACAUUGUUCAGCUGUCACACACUCCAGGACGUCGUCGGCACAAAACUGAAAAUGUAUGAAGGAUGCAUAAAGAAAAACUGUGGCUAAUGCAUCUGCAGGAAAAAGCUUGAGAAUGGCUUGAUGGACUGAGACGAGCCACGGCAGACUUUUCAGGAAACAGCUCAAUUUUACCCAGGCAGGCUGGAGCUGAUGGGGGGUGUAAAGUUUGAUUACAAUCACAGCUGCUGACAAGAUGCGAGGAGAUGGACGUAAACAAGGACAUUAAACUGAAACAUUAUUGAGCUUGUGGCUGUAUGUUACACAGCCUUCGGUUCCUGCUAUACUUCUGCUACUUAAGUGGUUUAAUGAUUGUACGGAAAAUCUCAGAAGAAAGCCAUGCAUGACAACAGAGAUUUAUUUCGUCAGAGCUGCAGCUGCAAUUAGUCACAGCCGAAUGUGCUCUGUUCCCUCAGAUAAUCUCGAAAUCGUUGACAUUUAGUGUCAGCUCCCGUACAUUUUCCUCCGAGUGUUUGGAGAAAGUGAAGGCAGGAGCCGGAGCCACCGGAGGGAGGAGAGAGGUAGGCGUAAUCAGUCUAAACACCAGCUAAUUAGAGCAGCAGUCGUAUUUCUUUAGUCAGGUGGGUGUAAGAACGAGGCAACCGAAGUGAAGUCAACACCAAAACAGCUACAUGGAGGUAUGGUUGGAGGCUUUAUGAAACCUGUAUGAAAUUAAUUAUAAAAAUGACACACUGCUUUAUUUUUCACACAUUUUUCAAUUUAUGCAUGAUGUGAACUGUUAGCAUGCAGAGAAGACAUAAAUAGAUCAAGAUCUGAAACACCUCAAAGCAUUAUUUUUAAAUACUUUAUUUCCCCUGACUACCUAAAUUAAUACCAGACUAAACUUUUCCUGUUUGAAUUCAGUCAGGAGGUCAAAAUGAUUUCCACGCUGCAAAAACACAAACUUUUACCGAGUAUUUUUGGUCUAGUUUCUAUUGAGAAUAUCUUAUUACGCUUGAAAUCAGACAUAAUAACCCACAAGUAACUUUUCAGCAUCAUAUAUGAGCUUGUUUUAAGUAAAUCGUUCCUUAAUAUUGAUGAAAAAGUUCUAGUUCCACUGGCAGACCAUUUCAUUUACAACAAGAUAUGUUUCCCAUGUUAUACGUGAAAUAAUCUGAUCAAUAUGAAUGAAUUAUUUACUUAAAAAACGUAUAUCUUGCUUAAAAGUUACUUGAAAGUUAGUUUUGACUUAUUAGA
This is a long non-coding RNA of Poecilia latipinna (sailfin molly), 1588 nucleotides long. RefSeq lists it as uncharacterized. NCBI's taxonomy places the organism in Eukaryota, Metazoa, Chordata, Actinopteri, Cyprinodontiformes, Poeciliidae. The transcript is spliced from 3 exons. The record is from RefSeq and is a predicted model, not a curated record.